Molecule: ribosomal RNA, 238 nt
Filed under: uncultured bacterium
Lineage: Bacteria
Description: partial 16S ribosomal RNA
Rfam family: Bacterial small subunit ribosomal RNA
Source: RNAcentral
UGGCGGACGGGUGAGUAACGCGUGGGUAACCUGCCUCACACUGGGGGAUAACAGUUAGAAAUAGCUGCUAAUACCGCAUAAGCGCACGGUUCCGCAUGGAACAGUGUGAAAAACUCCGGUGGUGUGAGAUGGGCCCGCGUCUGAUUAGCCAGUUGGCGGGGUAACGGCCCACCAAAGCGACGAUCAGUAGCCGGCCUGAGAGGGUGAACGGCCACAUUGGGACUGAGACACGGCCCAA